AGGCUAGGAUGACCGAAAUUUCUCGAUUCUGAUUUGGAUUUCGGGUAAAGGACCAAAUUCCAGAGCAAAAAUCUUUUGCUUUGUGAUGACCGCGUUUGUGCGUGUCUGAGCCUC
Molecule: small nucleolar RNA, 114 nt
Organism: Neltuma alba
Lineage: Eukaryota; Viridiplantae; Streptophyta; Magnoliopsida; Fabales; Fabaceae
Product: small nucleolar RNA snoR126
Exons: 1
Source: RefSeq, a predicted model, not a curated record